This 277-nucleotide non-coding RNA is filed under the name Candidatus Gallionella acididurans. RNAcentral's name for it is "Bacterial large subunit ribosomal RNA". It matches the Rfam family "Bacterial large subunit ribosomal RNA", at positions 2654 to 2925 of the family's 2925-position model. The record is from Rfam by way of RNAcentral. Lineage: Bacteria; Pseudomonadati; Pseudomonadota; Betaproteobacteria; Nitrosomonadales; Gallionellaceae.
UUGGAAAUUUGAAGGGACCUGCUCCUAGUACGAGAGGACCGGAGUGGACAGAUCUCUGGUGUACCGGUUGUCACGCCAGUGGCAUUGCCGGGUAGCUAAAUCUGGAAGAGAUAACCGCUGAAAGCAUCUAAGCGGGAAACUCGCCUUGAGAUAAGAUUUCCCUGGGGGUUCAACCCCCCUAAAGAGUCGUUCGAGACCAGGACGUUGAUAGGCUGGGUGUGGAAGCGCAGUAAUGCGUUAAGCUAACCAGUACUAAUUGCUCGUGAGGCUUGAUCCU